GGCAGCUCGCUCUGGGAGCCUAGAAUGCAUCAGUGCCCUUGUGGCGAAUGGGGCUCACGUCGAGUUGCAUCUGUAAGAUAACGCAUUUCAGCUGCUGUGCAUCGUAUUAAAUUUUCUAGCACCACACG
RNAcentral lists this small RNA (128 nucleotides) under Pan troglodytes (chimpanzee). Its description in RNAcentral is "processed transcript". The record is from RNAcentral. Lineage: Eukaryota; Metazoa; Chordata; Mammalia; Primates; Hominidae.